RNAcentral lists this ribosomal RNA (445 nucleotides) under uncultured bacterium. Its description in RNAcentral is "partial 16S ribosomal RNA". It matches the Rfam family "Bacterial small subunit ribosomal RNA", at positions 354 to 796 of the family's 1533-position model. The record is from RNAcentral.
GUGAGGAAUAUUGGUCAAUGGACGAGAGUCUGAACCAGCCAAGUCGCGUGAAGGAAGACGGUUCUAUGAAUUGUAAACUUCUUUUGUGCAGGAAUAAAGUGGGUUACGUGUAACCUUUUGUAUGUACUGUACGAAUAAGGAUCGGCUAACUCCGUGCCAGCAGCCGCGGUAAUACGGAGGAUCCGAGCGUUAUCCGGAUUUAUUGGGUUUAAAGGGUGCGUAGGUGGAUUGAUAAGUCAGCGGUGAAAGUUUGCAGCUUAACUGUAAAAUUGCCGUUGAAACUGUCGGUCUUGAGUGCAAAUGAGGUAGGUGGAAUGUGUUGUGUAGCGGUGAAAUGCUUAGAUAUAACACAGAACUCCGAUUGCGAAGGCAGCUUACUGGGAUGCAACUGACACUGAUGCACGAAAGCGUGGGUAUCAAACAGGAUUAGAAACCCUUGUAGUCC